Molecule: long non-coding RNA, 695 nt
Filed under: Penaeus japonicus
Lineage: Eukaryota; Metazoa; Arthropoda; Malacostraca; Decapoda; Penaeidae
Description: uncharacterized LOC122262379
Source: RNAcentral
ACUAUUAUCAUUAUAAGUUUUUAUUCUGCGUACAGGUAGUUUAUUUAUGGAGUUUUAAGAAUGUUUUCUACUGUUUCCAAUCAGGCACUCAUAUGACCAUGUCAGAUUUAUAAAGGACAGCUCCAGAUUAUGUCGAAGAACUCUACUGACAGGGAAAAAGGAGUUUGAAGACAUGUCAAGUAGUGGGGACAUGCAUUUGGGGUGGCAUCAGUACCACAACCUCACUGAGAGGGAUUUAGACGAUGACAAUGAGGAGUUCCCGGACGACAUUGACUUCGGGGAUCCAGCUCUCAUUGCCCUACAGGAGGAGGAGGUACAGGAAGAAGAAGAGGACCAUAUAGAGGUGAUUGCGAGGAAGGGCAUAGAGCCAGAAGUUAUUCAGAUUGACUGAUCAUGUGCUUCACUGGAAGGGAGUUGUACAAAGAUUUAUCAAAAGGGACCAGAAUGAAUAAGAGUAACUGUUGUAUUUUAUAUAUUUUUUUUUAAUUAUAAGAAAUUGAUUGUUAUUAUUGGUAGUAUUGAUGCCAUGACUGAAUUUGAAUUUGUCUUUUACUUGUAUUACCAAAGUAUUGUCUGUUGGUUGUUAAAGAAUUCUGCAACUGGUAAAAAAGUAUAGAAGAAAUGUGCAAAUAUGCAUUGACUGGUUGAAAAGAAGUAUUUUAAAACUAUUUAAAUAUAAUAAAAAGUUUCAUGCA